CGCCUGUAAUCCCAGCACUUUGGGAGGCCAAGGCGGGCCGAUCACGGGGUCAGGAGAUCGAGACCAUCCUGGCUAACACGGUGAAACCCCAUCUCUACUAAACAUACAAAAAAAAAAAGUAGCCGGGCGUGGUGGCGGGCGCCUGUAGUCUCAGCACUUUGGAAGGCUGAGGCGGGCGGAUCACGAGGUCAGGAGAUGGAGAACAUCCUGGCUAACAGGUGAAACCCCGUCUCUACUAAAAGUACAAAAACCAAUUAGCCGGGUGCGGUGGCGGGCGCCUGUAGUCCCAGCUACUCCGGAGGCUGAGGCAGGAGAAUGGCGUGAACCCAGGAGAUGGAGCUUGCAGUGAGCCGAGAUCGCGCCAAUGCACUCUAGCCUGGGCGACACAAGGAGACUCCAUCUCAAAACAACAACAACAACAACAACAACAACAACAACAAAAACCAGCUGAGCAGCGCGGGCCUUCUGGCAGCGGGUCCAGCUCCAGGGCGCCCUAGGGCAGCGGCGUGCAGUGUUCGGGUAAUAGGACGCAGACGGCGGGGUCGCCGGGGGCUUCGGGGUGGCCUCGGCCCCAGGCCAUCCAGCCCUGUGGACCGAAUGGAGUCCCGCACGCUGUUGAGGUAGUCGUGGGUUCCCCUGGCCUCGGGCUCGGCGCGGGGUCAGCGCUCCUGCAGGUGGCGCUUGCGGUACGGGCUGGUGAAAGUGGAGACGGACGGCAGGAUGGAUUCACUUGGCGACAUGGCGAGGAGCUGGGAAGACGGACACCGGAACGUGAGGAACACGAGUAGUUCAAGAAAAUGCUGAAGAUGCGCUUGGCUGGGAAGCUAGGAUAGGCUGACGAAGUCAGACUUAGUGUGGGAACCUGGUAAGCAGUGGAUCGAUGUUAGCUGUUUUCACUUAUUGCACUAGUAUAAUCAGUUUGAUGAUACAUACUUCAUUCAGCCCCAGCUGUUACUUAAGACCUGGUUUCACAUUUUAUGUUCUUUUUCCUGUGCAGGCUGGGAAAGGGUUUCUUCUGUCCAUAAAAGCUACUCCAAUGGCUGUGGGAGACUUAAUUCCAAUUCCAGGUGAUACAGCCGUCAGUCUCCCACUAGCUGUAGGAUGGUGUGCUGCAGUUCACAGGUGUGGAUGCUCAAGUGGGCUUUCAAAGAUGUCAUGAGAGGGAGGGGUUAUUGUAUUAGGCACAUUUUCCAAAUAUAGGCAUUUCAUUGUACAAGACCCCAAAUGUGAGAGGGUGUUUGUUUCAGUGUUUUAUAGAGUUCCUAAUAUGCCAUCAUAUAUACAUUCAGUUGUUUUCAAAAUACAGUUUAGUAUUUGGCUACUCACAAAGUAAUAAAACAUUUAAAUCACUUAACCAUACAAUUCUUGGUAACCAAAAGGCUUUUCUUUCUAUUCAGUAGUUUAACAUCCAGCUUUCUUUUUUAGGGCAAAGGAGAUAGAAGUGGAUGAAAUGACAGAGUAUUUUUUUAAUUGUACUCUGAUUAAUGCCAAAAGUGUUCAAUCACUAUGUGUGGGGAAGUUUCCUGGUACAAAGGAAAAAAAAACAGGUUGUUCAUACACUUGGCUGUGUUAGUAAGUGGUAAACAGAAUUAAACUUUUCUUAUGUGAACUCACACAUAUGUGCUUCAUGUCACUCCUAUUUAACAUCUCUUUCACACACACAGUCAUCCCCCCCACACAUACCCUUUUGCUAGUCUUCUUCCAUUUUGCUUAUUAACCCAAAGAAAGAAAAAAUAUGGAAGCCUUCUUGCAUAAGUUGCGUUAAUCAGAUGAAUUAUUGAAGCCACUCUGUCUAAAUAUUAUUUUCCCUUAUUUUUCCUUCAUUAGUUUCCCAUUCUGUUGUAUUUAUUUAAUUUUUAUUUCAUUUUCCAGACCUAAGUCAAUGUUAGUCUACCACUGUACGUCUGGUAACCUCAAUCCCUGCAACCGGAGCAAAAUGUGAUUCCAGGUCUUGGCAACCUUUGAAAUUCCAAUUCCAUUUGCAAGAGCUUUGAGGAGGCCAUAUGCUGAUUUCACCACAAGCAACUUCACAACCCAGUACUGGAAUGCCAUCAGCCAGCAGGCCCCUGCCAUUAUCUGUGACUUCUAUCUGUGGCUCAUUGGAAGGAAACCCAGUUUUUCACAAAAUCUGAGGAGCUGAUACGGAAAGCACACCAGAUCUCAUGUGUUGAAAUGUGAACAUGCUCACCACAGACCAAGGACAUUCAACCUGUCAAUCCCCAGGAUUUCCAAGCCAGGAGUUUCAUCUCUUACUUGUGGAAAAUUUGUCCAUUUAAUUGUGAACCAAUCAGCUUUUCAUUGUGUCAAAAUCAAAUCUGGAUAGUGAAAUAUAUAUUUUAUCUUUAUUGUUAUCUUAAAUAUAUCUUGGCUUAAAGAGACAUAAGUAGCUCUUCCCCACUACACCAGAUAAUGAGUUGCAAAUAAAUCAUUCAGUAGUAAAGUUCAAAGAAAGCUUGAAAGCAUUUUGAAUUUCCUAGUGUCUUACAGAUUUGUUUCUUUUUACAACAACCAUGUCCCAUGUAUAUCUGUUUAGGACCUUAAGUUGUUAAUAAUCUACUCUGAAUAAUUCCUUAAGAAAACAUUAAAAGGACAAUGUCUAUACCUGGGAAAUAAAACCCAAAGUAGUAGAAAUUAUAUUAAAAAUCAUGUAGUUAAUUACAAAUGAGUGUGAGCUUAGACACUGAAAAAUGUGUCACUGAAAAAAUACCAAAAAUGGUCAGCCUUUUCCUGUUAAGUUACAGAAAGGUAUAUAAUAUAAGUACUUAGUACAUAAGAGAAGAGUUAGAAUGAGAUUGUACCAGGUUCAGAAUUCCUCAUCCGAGAAGACCAGACAAAAUUCAAGGUUUUUAGAGAGGGACUACCCUGAAUGAUGUCACCAGUAAGUGAGUUUAUAAACAAAGACAGAGCUUGGCAAGUUGCACUGGAUACUUCAAACCAGUUUCUCUGGAAAAAUUUGAGUUACUCAAUAAACCCUCAGUUUUCCUGAGGUAAAUCAACUUUGAAAUACAGUGGAGAACUCUGGGUGAUAAAUCACGCCGUGCUACACACUAGGACUGCAGUUCACAGAACGUGAUUAGAUUUAAGGCAAUAGAAGAUAGGAACAUUUUUUGAACUAGUUUAUUGAAUCCUUUUGAGAAUAUCACUGUUUGGCAGUUCCUAGAAAGCUUAGACAAAUUAAUCUUCAAGAGGCAAACAAAUUAACUUUGAACUAAAAAACAAAAACACAACCAAAAACUUUGAAUUAGAAAACAUCUGCUAAGAAAAGCC
RNAcentral lists this long non-coding RNA (3267 nucleotides) under Homo sapiens (human). RNAcentral's name for it is "HSALNT0305833". Lineage: Eukaryota; Metazoa; Chordata; Mammalia; Primates; Hominidae. The record is from RNAcentral.